Molecule: long non-coding RNA, 2507 nt
Filed under: Triticum aestivum (bread wheat)
Lineage: Eukaryota; Viridiplantae; Streptophyta; Magnoliopsida; Poales; Poaceae
Description: long non-coding RNA (TAES_LNC009302)
Source: RNAcentral
AUACCUAAAGCAGUGAACCAGAUUCCUACUACAGGCCAAGCAGCCAAGAAGAAGUGUAAAGAACGAGAGUUGUUGAAACUAGCAUAUUGGAAGAUUAAUCAGCCAAAAUAACCAUGAGCAGCCACAAUAUUAUAAGUUUCUUCCUCUUGACCAAAUUUGUAACCCUCAUUAGCAGAUUCAUUUUCAGUAGUUUCCCUGAUCAAACUAGAGGUUACCAAGGAACCAUGCAUAGCACUGAAUAGGGAACCGCCGAAUACACCAGCUACACCUAACAUGUGGAAUGGAUGCAUAAGGAUGUUGUGCUCUGCCUGGAAUACAAUCAUAAAGUUGAAAGUACCAGAGAUUCCUAAAGGCAUACCAUCAGAAAAGCUUCCUUGACCAAUAGGGUAAAUCAAGAAAACAGCAGUAGCAGCUGCAACAGGAGCUGAAUAUGCAACAGCAAUCCAAGGACGCAUACCCAGACGGAAACUAAGUUCCCACUCACGACCCAUAUAACAAGCUACACCAAGUAAGAAGUGUAGAACAAUUAGCUCAUAAGGACCACCAUUGUAUAACCACUCAUCAACAGAUGCGGCUUCCCAAAUUGGGUAAAAGUGCAAUCCGAUCGCCGCAGAAGUAGGGAUAAUAGCACCAGAGAUAAUAUUGUUUCCAUAAAGUAAAGAACCAGAAACAGGCUCACGAAUACCAUCAAUAUCUACUGGAGGGGCAGCGAUGAAGGCGAUAAUAAAUACAGAAGUUGCGGUCAAUAAGGUAGGGAUCAUCAAAACACCGAACCAUCCGAUGUAAAGACGAUUUUCAGUGCUAGUUAUCCAGUUGCAGAAGCGACCCCACAGGCUUGUACUUUCGCGUCUCUCUAAAAUUGCAGUCAUGGUAAGAUCUUGGUUUAUUCAAAUUGCAAGGACUCCCAAGCACACGUAUUAACUAGAAUAUAGAUAAUAGAAGGCUUGUUAUUUAACAGUAUAACAUAGACUAUAUACCAAUGUCAACCAAGUCAGCCCAAAGAUUAGCUAUCCAUAUAACUAAAUUAACCAAACCAAUAAUUUUGUAUUUGUAAAUGAAGUGAGUCAAAGUUAAAAACUUUGAUGGGUCUUUUCUAUAUGGGUUGCCCGGGACUCGAACCCGGAACUAGUCGGAUGGAGUAGAUAAUUCUUCCUUGUUACAAUAGAGAAAAAUCCCUCCCCAAAUCGUGCUUGCAUUUUUCAUUGCACACGACUUUCCCUAUGUAGAAAUAGCCAAUUUCUACUGGAGGGGCAGCGAUGAAGGCGAUAAUAAAUACAGAAGUUGCGGUCAAUAAGGUAGGGAUCAUCAAAACACCGAACCAUCCGAUGUAAAGACGAUUUUCAGUGCUAGUUAUCCAGUUGCAGAAGCGACCCCACAGGCUUGUACUUUCGCGUCUCUCUAAAAUUGCAGUCAUGGUAAGAUCUUGGUUUAUUCAAAUUGCAAGGACUCCCAAGCACACGUAUUAACUAGAAUAUAGAUAAUAGAAGGCUUGUUAUUUAACAGUAUAACAUAGACUAUAUACCAAUGUCAACCAAGUCAGCCCAAAGAUUAGCUAUCCAUCUAACUAAAUUAACCAAACCAAUAAUUUUGUAUUUGUAAAUGAAGUGAGUCAAAGUUAAAAACUUUGAUGGGUCUUUUCUAUAUGGGUUGCCCGGGACUCGAACCCGGAACUAGUCGGAUGGAGUAGAUAAUUCUUCCUUGUUACAAUAGAGAAAAAUCCCUCCCCAAAUCGUGCUUGCAUUUUUCAUUGCACACGACUUUCCCUAUGUAGAAAUAGCCAAUUUCUAUUCCAAAGAGGAAGUUCUACUAAUUUUUUUAAUUAGUAAGUUGAUUCACCUACUCUUUAUUAUAAUAAAAAGAAGAUUUUCAGUGCUAGUUAUCCAGUUGCAGAAGCGACCCCACAGGCUUGUACUUUCGCGUCUCUCUAAAAUUGCAGUCAUGGUAAGAUCUUGGUUUAUUCAAAUUGCAAGGACUCCCAAGCACACGUAUUAACUAGAAUAUAGAUAAUAGAAGGCUUGUUAUUUAACAGUAUAACAUAGACUAUAUACCAAUGUCAACCAAGUCAGCCCAAAGAUUAGCUAUCCAUAUAACUAAAUUAACCAAACCAAUAAUUUUGUAUUUGUAAAUGAAGUGAGUCAAAGUUAAAAACUUUGAUGGGUCUUUUCUAUAUGGGUUGCCCGGGACUCGAACCCGGAACUAGUCGGAUGGAGUAGAUAAUUCUUCCUUGUUACAAUAGAGAAAAAUCCCUCCCCAAAUCGUGCUUGCAUUUUUCAUUGCACACGACUUUCCCUAUGUAGAAAUAGCCAAUUUCUAUUCCAAAGAGGAAGUUCUACUAAUUUUUUUAAUUAGUAAGUUGAUUCACCUACUCUUUCUUAUAAUAAAAAGAACAUUUCAGAAUGAAAAAUAGAAAAGUUUUUUCUUGAUCAUUUAUCAACCCUUUCCUGUUUCUUAAUUUCGUCUAAUGAUUAAUUAAGAGGGUUGACCGGGUCAUUGAUACGUAUAAUAUC